Molecule: long non-coding RNA, 211 nt
Filed under: Mytilus galloprovincialis (Mediterranean mussel)
Lineage: Eukaryota; Metazoa; Mollusca; Bivalvia; Mytilida; Mytilidae
Source: RNAcentral
GCCUUUCUACACAUGUAUUAUAGCUUUACUUUGCCUUUUAAUACAAUAUUAUAUGCACCUGCUCCUAUUGGGCAGUGAUUUAUGUUGCUGUCGUUUAAUUGAUCAUCAUUCAUCUACAACAUAUUAUCAACAAAUAGAUUAGUUUAAGUCGGCAUAUAGUAGUUUCAAAGUUAGCUAGAAUAGUACAUAUGAAAGUUUCUGCAGCCAUGCA